RNAcentral lists this ribosomal RNA (339 nucleotides) under uncultured eukaryote. Its description in RNAcentral is "partial 18S ribosomal RNA". It matches the Rfam family "Eukaryotic small subunit ribosomal RNA", at positions 1470 to 1796 of the family's 1831-position model. The record is from RNAcentral.
CCCUUCGAUGUUCUGGGCUGCACGCGCACUACAAUGGCAACGACAGAAAGUAGUAAUGUAAAUGUGGUUACAUCGAGAGAUGUGACGAAUCAUAAAUCGUUGUCGUGAUUGGGAUUGAGCGUUGUAAUAUUUGCUCAUGAAAGAGGAAUUCCUCGUAAGCGCGAGUCACCAACUCGUGUUGAAUACGUCUCUGCCCUUUGUACACACCGCCCGUCGCUACUACUGAUUGAACUGGUUUUUGAAGUGUAGAGAUUUGCAGGUUUGAUUUUGUAAAAGAAAUGGAACGAUGCGAAGAACCACUCUAAAAAAAGCGUUCGAGAAGAAGUAAAAGUCGUAACA